This 1101-nucleotide long non-coding RNA is filed under the name Melopsittacus undulatus (budgerigar). RNAcentral's name for it is "lncRNA (ENSMUNG00000019867.1)". The record is from RNAcentral. Lineage: Eukaryota; Metazoa; Chordata; Aves; Psittaciformes; Psittaculidae.
UUCCCAUUCCCAUCCCAUCCCCAUUCCCAUCCCUAUCCCUGUCAUUGCCCCAUUCCCAUCCCUGUCCUGUCCCCAUCCCAUUUCCAGCCGUGUCAUUGUCCCAUCCCUAUCCCAUUUCCAUCCCAUUCUCAUCCCCCCAUCCCAUUCAUAUCCACAUCCCCAUCCCAUUCCCAUCCCAUUUCCAGCUGUGUCAUUGCCCCAUUCCCAUUACUGUCCCACCCCCAUCCCUAUCUGCAUCCCUAUCCCAUUCCCAUUACUGUCCCAUCCUUAUCUGUAUCCUUGUCCCAGCCCCAUCCCUAUCCCAUCCCAUUAUUCCCAUCCCCAUUCCCAUCAUCAUUCCCAUUCCUGUUAUCCCCAUUAUCCCUGUUAUCCCCAUCCCAUUCCCAUCCCCAUUAUGCCCAUCAUUCCCAUCAUUAUUCCCACUGUUAUCCCUGUUAUUCCCAUUCCUAUUCCCAUUCCUGUUAUUCCCACCAUCAUUCCCAUCCCAUUCCCAUGAUUCCCAUCAUUCCCAUCAUCAUUCCCAUCUCAUUAUCCCCUUAUCCCAUUGUCAUUCCCACCCCAUUCCCAUUAUCCCAUUCCCAUUCCCGUUAUCCCGUUGUCAUUCCUGUCAUUCCCACCCCAUUCCCAUCAUUCCCCUUAUUCCCACCGUCAUUCCCAUCAUUAUCCCCAUCAUUAUCCCACUGUUAUUCUGUUGUCAUUCCCGUUAUUCCCACCCCAUUCCCAUCAUUAUCCCAUCAUCAUUCCCAUCAUUCCCACCCCAUUAUCCCAUUAUCCCCUUGCCAUUCCCAUCAUUAUCCUCAUCAUUAUCCCACCGUUAUCCCGUUGUCAUUCCCACCCCAUUCCCAUCAUUAUCCCGUAGUCAUUCCCGUUAUCCCACUGUCAUUCCCAUCCCAUUAUCCCCAGUAUCCCAGUAUCCCAUUCCCUACCGUGCCGCCAGUAUGACCGCAUGCUGCUCGGGGCAGCACUGCCCCCAUUGUCAUUCCCAGUAUCCCAUAGUCAUUCCCACCCCAUUAUCCCAUAGGUUAUCCCAUAGGUUAUCCCAUAGGUUACCCCAUAGGCUAUCCCAUACGUUACCGUGCCGCCAGUAUGACCGCAUGCUGC